CCAUAUAGCCAGUGGCCGCACAUGGAAGAUACUAGUCACUAAGUCUGUCUGAUCUUUUUGAACCUGGGCGGCCGUCCACUUACAUUCAGAGGGUAAAAACCAUGAUGUUCUUGAAACCACCCUUCAAUACCAAUUCCGCCCAGAGGUGAAUUAAGUCCUCAAUUACUACUCAAUUUGAUUAUAUUUAUAAUCCUCACAUAAUCUCAAUGUAUACACGAACCACCCCCGUCUACAAAGCAUAGCAAACUACAACUACCACGAUUUGCAAAAGACGGGAAGAUAGCUCAACAUCAUAUAGCAAAAUAAUAUAGUAUUCCUAUACAUGCAUAAAUUCAUAGUGUGAUAUAACUACAUGCAUAGAAAACAAUAGGUAAAGGAUGAUCAACAUGUAACUUGCCUUGGUUCUGGUUCAGAAAGUCACACUCCUGACAAUAGUUUGCCUCGCACUCCGGACAAUCUACACGUUUCACACAAUUCAGCAAAUCAAUCACCGAAACACGAAUAGGACCAAAAUAAAAACCAACAGCAAGAAAAACCAUUUUAAAAUACAACAACAGCAGCAUAACAACACCUAAAUUGUACUACGGUCACAAUGCAAAAAGAAUCACUCGAAUCCGAUAAACGGUUUGAGAGAUACGGCCUCCGGAAGGUUUAUUUCAAAUUCAAACGAAUUCAAAUUUGAAAAGUGCAAACAUGUGCAAACUUGGUACUCUAAUAAAGUGCUGAUUUUUGUGAGAUCAUAGGAUAAAGAAUUACCUAAUUUGGGUAUACAGAAUAAAAGCUAUAGCUAUUUGAAGUUUUGAGUGAAAAACUGGAAAAAACAAAAACAGCAACAGAGAUCGCCUGGUCCUGUGCGGCACUGUAGCUGCGCCUAUAGCAGUAUGCCACGUGGCAGUUUGUGAUUGGCCAAAGGAGUUCCUUGUGCGUUCGUGCUCACCAGAACAGAGGAAGGGCGGCGGCGGUCUCGGGCGUCGGCGGUGGCGCUCCUCCGGCGAUGCUCCGGCGAAGUUGAGGGGGUGGACGGGUGCGGCGUUGAGUGGCGGAGGCGGUGGUGGUGUUCGACGACGGCGAGGACCUCCUCUGCGGCUGCGGUGGCGGGGUGAACGUGGCGUGCUCCGGCGGUGGCAGACGUCGGUGGCGGCGGUGUUCAGCAGCGUCUCAGGCGACAAAACGACGUCAAAACAGUGAAGAGAUGAGCGGAUGGUCGAGGAGAGUAAACGGGGUGGUCCGAGGCGUCCUUACGGCGGCGGGAACGACUGGCGAACGGCGGCGGCGGCGGAGCUCCGCGGCGAGAUGCGUUUCGCCCUCGCUCGAGCGUGCGGCAACGAGGAAGAACGAGGAGUGGAUGCGGGGUCGCCCUGGGUCUUCUGCUUGCACACGGCAACUCGGGAGCGCUCGAGGUGGACCAGGGACGCGGGGUAAACCGGCUCGGCCUCGGCGUGCGCGCGGCGUGGCUGCGUCCGGCUUGGGGUGGAAGAUGGGUGCGGGGCCCGCUGUCAGUGGCUGGGGCGAGGGGUGGAUCGGGCGCGGGCCGGGUGCGAGCGUGCGGGCGUACCGCUUCGCUAGGUUUAGCGGGCUGCGGGCGGUGGGGUUUGGUGGGCCGCAGCGGUGCGGGGGACUGGGCCGCGCAGUGCGGGGUUAGGUGGGCCGCGGCGUCGGCUGGCUGGCUGGGUAGCUGGCUGGCCGGCUGUUUUUUUUAGAACACAAAACUACAGAAAUACAAAUAACUAAAAUAAAAUAACCACAAUAAAAACUAAACAAAAAUAUAGAGACACACUGUAAAAUAUUUACUACUAAUAUAAACUACAUGAACAAUAGUUCCUCACCUAAUGCAAUUUUAGAAAUUCAUUUUGAUGCAAUAGGACACUCAAACAACAAUAAAACAAUCAAAUAAAAUAUUUUUAAGAUUGCAAAAAUUACCAGAACAUAUCACAUGAACUGUAAAUAAUAUUCUGCACAUUAUGAACAUUUUUAAAAUAGGGGAGAAGUCAUGUUAUCUCCACUCCAAAUAAAUUGCCUUUUGUUGCAUAAUGAUUUGAAUAUUCUGAAAAAGCAAAUAAUGCAAUAAAAUUAUGAUAUGCAUAUGAAUGAUCUAUUAACAUCCUAAUUUAGAAAAAUUGGGAUGUUACAAACCUACCCCCCUUAAGAUGAAUCUCGCCCUCGAGAUUCGGGUUGGCUAGAGAAUAGAUGUGGGUGAUCCUGCUUGAGAUCUUCCUCUCGUUCCCAGGUAGCUUCCUCCUCUGUAUGAUGAUCCCACUGAACCUUGCAUAACUUGAUUGUCUUGGUGCGAGUAACUCUCUCUGCUGUCUCCAGAAUCUUAACAGGCUUCUCCUCAUAUGUCAAAUCACUCUCCAACUGAAUUGCCUCAAGUGGCACUGUGUCCCUCAAUGGAACAUCCAUCAUCUCUGCAUGACACUUCUUCAACUGAGAUACAUGAAACACAUCGUGAACUCCUGACAAGGAUUCUGGCAACUCCAACUGAUAAGCUACCUCUCCUCUACGCUCCAAGAUCGUGUAAGGCCCCACAAAACGUGGUGCUAACUUACCCUUAAUUCCAAACCUCUUAAUUCCACGAAGUGGUGAAACUCUAAGAUACGCACGGUCUCCUACCUCAUAUGUCACCUCCUUACGUUUUGCAUCUGCAUAACUCUUCUGUCUGGACUGUGCUAUCUUCAGCCUGUCACGAAUCAACUUGACCUUCUCCUCAGCAUCUCUGAUCAAGUCUGGCCCAAAGAACUAACGCUCUCCAACCUCAUCCCACAUUAACGGUGUCCUGCACUUUCUGCCAUACAAUACCUCAAAUGGUGCCAUCUUCAGACUAGCCUGGUAACUGUUAUUAUAUGAGAACUCUGCAUAAGGUAAAUUAUCAUCCCAACUGGACCCGUAGUCCAAAGCACAAGCUCUCAACAUAUCCUCCAAAAUCUGAUUUACCCUCUCUGUCUGCCCAUCUGUCUGUGGAUGGAAAGCUGUACUGAACUCCAGCCUGGUGCCCAAGGAUUCAUGCAACUGGCGCCAAAACUUAGAUGUGAACUGAGUACCUCUAUCAGACACUACCUUCCUUGGAACUCCAUGUAGACAAACAAUUUUAGACAUAUAAAUCUUUGCUAGCUGAGCACUGGUAUAAGUAGUCUUUACCGGGAUGAAGUGAGCAACUUUAGUCAAACGAUCAAUAACUACCCAAAUAGAAUCAUAACCUGACCGAGUCUUGGGUAGACCUGUAAUAAAAUCCAUACCAAUCUCAUCCCACUUCCAAUCAGGUAUAGGCAAUGGCUGUAACAAACCUGCUGGUCUCUAAUGUUCUGCUUUAACUCUCUGGCACACAUCACAUGUUGCAAUAUAUCCAGCAAUUUCCCUCUUCAGGCUAGGCCACCAAAACCUUUCCCUCAAAUCCAAAUACAUCUUAGUAUUACCUGGGUGAAUAGAAUAAGGUGAAUCAUGCGCCUCCUGAAGAAUCAACUUCCUGAUGUCUGCAUCCUGAGGUACACAAAUACGCUUCUCAAACCAUAUGGCCCCAUGUUCAUCCUCAUGGAAACCUUCUGCUUUACCUUUAACCAUGUUCUCUUUUAUCUCAGCAAUCUCCUUAUCACCCUUUUGAGCUUCUCUAAUCAUGUCAAGCAAAGUAGGCUUUACCUCAAGUGUUGCCAAAUAUCCCUUCGGAACCAUCUCCAACCCGAGAUUCCUGAAUUGUUCACAUAACUCGGGUGGCAUAUUAUCAAUAUUAAUUGCAUUAGCAUGGCUCCUACGACUCAAUGCAUCAGCAACAACAUUAGCCUUACCAGGAUGAUACUGCACAUUCAAAUCAUAAUCCUUAAUAAGCUCCAACCAUCUCCUCUGCCUGAGGUUCAAAUCCUUCUGAGUAAAAAUAUACUUCAAGCUCUUAUGAUCAGUAAAUAUAUCACAACGAUUACCAAUAAGGUAUGGCCUCCAAGUUUUCAAUGCGUGCACAACUGAGGCUAACUCCAAAUCAUGGGUAGGAUAAUUAUGCUCAUGAUUCUUAAGCUGACGUGAAGCAUAUGAAACAACUUUACCUUCCUGCAUCAAAACACUCCCAAGUCCUUGACGAGAAGCAUCACAAUAUACCUAGAAGUCGUUAUGUAUAUCUGGCAGUGUUAAGACUAGUGCUGUAACCAAACGCUGCUUCAAUUCCUGAAAGCUGGCUUCACAUUCAUCAGUCCAAACAAACUUCUUCUCCUUCUUCAACAAUUCAGUCAUAGGCUUUGCAAUCUUGGAAAAGUUUUCAAUAAACCUCCUAUAAUAACCUGCAAGGCCCAAAAAGCUGUGAAUCUCCCCAACUGUCGUGGGUGUCUCCCACUCUGUAACUGCAGCAACCUUAGAUGGAUCAACUGCAACUCCAUUACCUGACACAACAUGUCCAAGGAAAGCUACCUCAUCCAGCCAAAACUCACAUUUGCUGAACUUGGCAUACAACUGAUGUUCCCUCAAUUUCUCCAAUUCCAAACGCAGAUGCACCUCAUGCUCUUGCUUAUUCUUGGAGAACACCAAUAUAUCAUCAAUGAAAACAACCACAAAUUUAUCCAAGAACUCCAUAAACACCUUGUUCAUCAUAUUCAUGAAGUAUGCAGGAGCGUUAGUCAGUCCAAAUGACAUAACGGUAUAUUCAUACAACCCAUACCUCGUGGUGAAAGCAGUCUUUGGAAUAUCUUGCUCGCGAAUCUUCAAUUGAUGAUAACCAGAACGGAGAUCAAUCUUAGAAAACACAGUAGCUCCCUCCAACUGGUCAAAUAGAUCAUUUAUCAUAGGCAAAGGAUACUUAUUCUUAAUGGUUACCUCAUUCAGAGAACGAUAAUCAACACACAUCCUCAAGGUUCCAUCCUUCUUCUCCACAAACAAAACUGGAGCUCCCCAAGGUGAUGAACUUGGGCGAAUAAAUCCUUGUGCCUGCAAUUCUCUUAUCUGCUUCUUCAAUUCCUCCAACUCUUGAGGAGGCAUUCUAUACGGUCUCCUUGCAAUAGGUCCAGUGCCUGGUAUUAAAUCAAUAAGAAACUCAAUAUCCCUAUCUGGUGGCAUACCUGGCAACUCCUCUGGAAACACAUCUGGAUAAUCCCUCACAACUGGCACCUCUUCCAGGCUACCCCCCUUAAGAGAGUUCACCUGCACCUGAUUACGCUUAUACUUACACACAUAUUUGAUCCUCUUCCCUCCUGGUGCACUGAGAGUAAUAGAUCGACUGGCACAAUCAAUACGACCUUUAUAUAACUGCAACCAAUCCAUACCCAAAAUAAUAUCCAGACCUUGUGACUUCAAUAUAAUCAAAUCCGUAGGAAACUCAUGCUUCCCAAUAGACAAAGUCAACUGAUGACAACCAACACCUGCUAUCAUCUCAGCUCCUGGGGAGCUCACUCUAAUAGGCAUACUAAGGGUUUUUGUUGGCAAGAAUAGAUGAGUCAUAGAUACAAUAGGGCCAAAAACUAUGUAUAUAUAAAUAUAUUCUACCCAUAUGCAUAAUAUGAUCAAGCCAACAAACACAACAACGAAUAACACCAACACACAAACAACAAACAACAAACAAUAAUAUGAUAAUAUUAUAUAUAUAUAUAGUCGAAUAAUUUCGACAAGAUAUAAAUUAACAAACAAACUACCAAUCAAGCAACAAUCUAGUAUCUUCAUACCACAAAAGUGGGCAUAAUCAGAUACGCUAACACGAUAGCGUUGCAAUAUAAAACAAGCAUGAAUGGUGGUCUCAGCACUAGUUCCUACUUAACUGGCAACAUACUUGAGGGGCUUAACUAAUAAACAGUAAGAAGUAUAACUAGUUGAUAAAUAAUUUUCACUCCUAUGGCUUUUAUAAUCCAUUUUCUAGGGUCACGUCCUACAGUCAACACACUGCUCUGAUACCAUCUGUAACGACCAAAAUCUCGAAGGAUUUGAGUCUCUGUGCUUACCGUGCUAGUCCCUGGAUCGAACUCGCUAGCACACACAGUAUAUACCAGAAUAGCAAGUGCAUCAUUUAUUACAUCGUAUGAUCCAGAAUAUAUAAAACAAAACAAUCUGCAUAGCACUUGGCUAGCUUUAUUCAAUCAAACAGCGGAAAGUAGCAGAAAAUAACGAUGAGUCCCAUCAUAGCCCACUGGCGAUGCUGAGUGCAGACUCGCGACCCUAACGGUACCUUACUCGUCAUCUGAAUAUCCUGCAACAUGAGACGUUGCAGCCAUAUAGGUCAAUACUUUGAAUGUAUUGGCAAGUUACACAGGAGUAAUAAUAUAGCAGACCUACAUGUAUAUGCAUAGUACAACAAAGGAAGGCUUGAGGGUUUAUUUUUGCAUAAAGCUGAUUUUAUCCUAAUAAAUACCUAAUAGUCAAAUUUUUAUUUAGUUCCUUAUUACUACAAUUAAAUACACAAGGUUGAGUUGGCAAAAUCAACUCCAACCUACCCUUUAUUAAGUUGCCCACAAAUAUUAUUAAGUGUCACAUCUGUCAAGAUCAUCCAACAACUGUAAUGGCAUAGUGGCUCAAAUUUACCCAUAACCGGGGGCACGGCUAAUCAUGAUUAGUUUUAAUACUCUGCAGAGUUUUGUACGCUUUACCCACUGGACCCAAUCCGAAGAUUAAGAUGAAGUCUUUCAGAAGCAGUCCCCUAGUCCCAACAGGAGGCCCAUCCCAACUAUUAUAUCUACAUCUGCUGGCACAUCCGAGUAAGGGUUCCACAACUGAUCAACUAAGCCAGAGCCCAUAUAGCCAGUGGCCGCACAUGGAAGCUACUAGUCACUAAGUCUGUCUGAUCUUUUUGAACCUGGGCGGCCGUCCACUUACAUUCAGAGGGUAAAAACCAUGAUGUUCUUGAAACCACCCUUCAAUACCAAUUCCGCCCAGAGGUGAAUUAAGUCCUCAAUUACUACUCAAUUUGAUUAUAUUUAUAAUCCUCACAUAAUCUCAAU
RNAcentral lists this long non-coding RNA (6896 nucleotides) under Triticum aestivum (bread wheat). Its description in RNAcentral is "long non-coding RNA (TAES_LNC016408)". Lineage: Eukaryota; Viridiplantae; Streptophyta; Magnoliopsida; Poales; Poaceae. The record is from RNAcentral.